Molecule: ribosomal RNA, 253 nt
Filed under: uncultured bacterium
Lineage: Bacteria
Description: partial 16S ribosomal RNA
Rfam family: Bacterial small subunit ribosomal RNA
Source: RNAcentral
UACGGAGGGGGCGAGCGUUAUUCGGAAUUACUGGGCGUAAAGCGCACGUAGGCGGAUCGAUCAGUCAGGGGUGAAAUCCCAGAGCUCAACUCUGGAACUGCCUUUGAUACUGUCGAUCUGGAGUAUGGAAGAGGUGAGUGGAAUUCCGAGUGUAGAGGUGAAAUUCGUAGAUAUUCGGAGGAACACCAGUGGCGAAGGCGGCUCACUGGUCCAUUACUGACGCUGAGGUGCGAAAGCGUGGGGAGCAAACAGG